AAAGUUUCUACAAAAACAAAAAGCCCACCACAGGAUAACAAAGGCAACAAAAACCUUACUGUACAGGUUAAACUUUCUCUGUACUGCACCUUAUCAGACUAAAUACCAAAUCACAUUUUGCACAUAUUUCUGUUGUCAGUGUGUCAAACAGAGUCAGACGUGGUGAGGCUGCUGUUGAUCUUACAUGGAACAGGCCGAAGGUUUCCCAGUGUAGAGUACACCUGGGUCUGUGAUGCACACUGGGACACAAGCUCAGGCAAUGGAGAAGCUCCUACUGGAGACUACUUCCAGUGAAGGCACGAUGUGAGGCUGUAGGAUCCAUCUGUGUUGUUUCUAUAAUUCCAGUUGAUGUCAGAUGUGUUUUGAUUUUCUUCAAAUGGACAUUCAAGUGAAGUGUUCAUGUAACUGAUGCAUUUUCCAU
Tachysurus vachellii is the source of this 421-nucleotide long non-coding RNA. RefSeq lists it as uncharacterized. Lineage: Eukaryota; Metazoa; Chordata; Actinopteri; Siluriformes; Bagridae. The transcript is spliced from 3 exons. The record is from RefSeq and is a predicted model, not a curated record.